ACUUGCUUCUUUGCUGGCGACCGGCGCACGGGUGGAGUAACACGUAUCCAACCUACCCUUUACUCGGGAUAGCCUUUCGAAAGAAAGAUUAAUACCCGAUAGCAUAAUGAUUCCGCAUGGUUUCAUUAUUAAAGGAUUCCGGUAAAGGAUGGGGAUGCGUUCCAUUAGGUUGUUGGUGAGGUAACGGCCCACCAAGCCUUCGAUGGAUAGGGGUUCUGAGAGGAAGGUCCCCCACAUUGGAACUGAGACACGGUCCAAACUCCUACGGGAGGCAGCAUG
This 279-nucleotide ribosomal RNA is filed under the name uncultured bacterium. Its description in RNAcentral is "partial 16S ribosomal RNA". It matches the Rfam family "Bacterial small subunit ribosomal RNA", at positions 72 to 353 of the family's 1533-position model. The record is from RNAcentral.